Long non-coding RNA from Mustela lutreola (European mink), 2543 nucleotides. RefSeq lists it as uncharacterized. The record is from RefSeq and is a predicted model, not a curated record. NCBI's taxonomy places the organism in Eukaryota, Metazoa, Chordata, Mammalia, Carnivora, Mustelidae. The transcript has 3 exons.
CCCCGGUCUCCGCACCUCUGGUCCCUGGGGCGCCGGCUGCGGCCGCAGACGGAGAAGGCGGCGGCGGAGGUACCGACUCGAGCUUGACCAGGGUCAGCGAGAUGAGCUCGGCUGUCUGAGAAGGCGGUGCAAAAUCCAGGACUGGAUUUCCCUCCCAAAUCCUGGGCUGGAUUUCCUAGAACUUGGACUCACCUACUCCAACAAUCUAGCCCCCUCCCCUAGCGCACCAAGGUUAGGGAACGCGGCUGUCGGGUGUGGCGUUUAGGGAUAAGGGUAAAAAUCCGUAUACGGAUGGACAGUCCGCAGGGAAAACGGCAUGAUUUUAGCGGUCACCGCCAAUUAUGGGGAAGUUCAAGUGAGGAAAUGAGGAGUCCUCAAAUCCCUUUCCCAGGACCCCUUGUCUCCCCCAGGUGAUUGCACGCAUUCUUUUUCCCAUCACCCAGCCGCCCUGACCACCCCACUCCACCCCCCACACGCAGUAUAUUGAUGGGGCCACGACUUGAGCUCAACUGUCCCAAAGUGAACUUGUAAAGUGUUCCCUGGGGAUGGAGACAAACAUGGAACUUAGCAGGGUAGGAAGGAGGGGGGUGUCUUAGGAGGGGAGAGAUCCGAGAACUCCAGGAGCCCAGGCCAAAAAGUGAGUCAAAGGCUCCAGCUUGAGGUGGAAGGAGAAAAAAUAUGUCUACAGAUUGACACCCCCCAUACCAAAAUGCAUCCAGUCUCCAUAGCAACCGUAGCUCCAAGAGUGCCUCAGAAUCAGCAGGGAUAAGCAGAGAGGAGAAUUGGUGUGUAUGGUGGGUGGAGGGACCUGCUGGGGUAUUGGGGGUUAAUGGAGGCACCAUCCUCGCAUCUAGUUAGCCACAUGUGGAGUAUUUAGUACCCCUGAAUAUAAGGACCCCUUCAGUUGUGGUGGGAGCCGGCCUCAUUUGGGUUCUGAUUCUGUCUCCUGAGGUUUUCCAGGUGGAGCUCUUUUAGAAGGUUAAAGAGGAGAUAGAGAGAAUGGAAAACGUCUGUCUGCUCUGUGUUCACCACCUUCUAGGGACCCUGGAAUUCAAGGCUCACUGUCCUCUAUCCUGGGGAGAAGGUUGAAGGGGUUUUCCUUUCUGUUCAGUGGGAACAGAAUCCUGACUCUUAGAGAAGGAGUGGAACAAAUCACUUAUGAAGACUGGAGUCUUCUGGGAGAUUUCAGCCUCCACCCCUCCUCACGCCCUCCUCCAGAGCUAAGCAGAACUCCUUCACUGGGACCAAACCUUUUUCCUCCCCCUCUUUUUUUUUCCUACAGGGAUGGGGCUUGGAGUUCCUCCCUAGGAGGCCCCAUAAGGCCACUCCCCCUAGGUCUGCCUUUCCUCCCACUGAGGCUGUAGGAAAGGUGUCAGCCAUUGUUCUUGGCAAAGGGUGGGGACAGGAGUUGAGAAGGACACUAGCCUCAGAAAGGCAAUGGGAAGGGGAUCAGACUGUCCCCUUAGGAUCCCAAACCAAAUGUUCCUUCCCCAAGUUAUGGUCUGGGGGCCUCUACCUUCAGAGAGGUCUGGCAGGAGGUGUCCCUGAUGGAAAGAAUGGCCUCUUGAACCACCACCACACCCCAGGUAGGCAACUAAGACUGGAGCGGCUGGGAGACCAGGCUAUGAUGAAGGAUGUAUUUCUCCCAGACACCUUUCAGGAACAACAUAGCUGGCUUUUGUUAGCUCUUUGCCACCUCAGAGGUAAAUGAGAGGAGAGUAGGCUGGAGAUGACUUUCAGUUCCACCAGUUCCUUAGUGCUGGGGCCCUGUGGAUAGAGAGAAACUGUUCCUGCUGGGGCCCCACCACAGGGCUGAAGGCUGGGGUGGGCAGGAGGAUGUGGCGGAUGGUGUUGCCAUGGCAGCACUUCCUCCCUGUGUUGUCAUCACUUGCUCUAAUGGCACUAAGGAGGUAGAGCGGAAGGUGUAUGUGUUGGGGGUGGGGAGAAGGACAGGAACAGGAGCAUGGGGAAGAGAGGGGACCGAAAAGAGUCUUAGGGACUUCUUUACACUUUGGCUAUGCAAAGCAUACAGUCUGAGCGAUAGCAUGUGCCUGAGAGCCUGGGAUUCUCUGCAUGGUGUAUUUCAGUGUGUGUGUGUUUCUCUCUACAGCUGGAGAACAAGAGGUCACCGAUCCUUUGUGGGUCCUGGGAAUGAACACAUUAUCCAGUCCCAGAACCUCCUGCCCCACACUGCUUCCUGCCCUGGACUCCCCAGGCAGGGUCCAAGUCUACCAUGGGUCUGUCACGGCCUCUCUUCCCCAUGCUCACCCACUUCUCCAUUGCCAAGAAGUUCAAUUCAGCACUGACUUGUUUUUUUAUCCCCUGGGAGAAGGAUCAGAGUUGAGGAAAGAGGAAGAACAACACCUCCCAUAUCUUUUUUCCAUCCUGUCCAAAUAUAUUCUUCCCCCGAGUUCCAGCUCCAUCUAGAGGACUAGGAAAUGGCUGGUUGGGAAGUGAUGUGUGAUACAGCAGACCUUUCUAUGCCCCUGCUGGUCCUCAAUACUCCCAGGGUGGCAGCUAACCUUUCUCUUACCUUGCACACU